This 436-nucleotide ribosomal RNA is filed under the name uncultured fungus. RNAcentral describes it as "eukaryotic LSU rRNA". The stretch from base 75 to 228 matches the Rfam family "5.8S ribosomal RNA". Lineage: Eukaryota; Fungi. The record is from RNAcentral.
GGACGGCCCGCCAGAGGACCCAAACUCUAUUGUUUCUUAUUGUAACUUCUGAGUAAAAUAAACAAAUAAAUUAAAACUUUCAACAACGGAUCUCUUGGUUCUGGCAUCGAUGAAGAACGCAGCGAAAUGCGAUAAGUAAUGUGAAUUGCAGAAUUCAGUGAAUCAUCGAAUCUUUGAACGCACAUUGCGCCCCUUGGUAUUCCGGGGGGCAUGCCUGUUCGAGCGUCAUUUCAACCCUCAAGCUUAGCUUGGUAUUGGGUCUAUGUCAGUAAUGGCAGGCUCUAAAAUCAUUGGCGGCGCCGCUGGGUCCUGAACGUAGUAAUAUCUCUNGUUACAGGUUCUCGGUGUGCUUCUGCCAAAACCCAAAUUUUUCUAUGGUUGACCUCGGAUCAGGUAGGGAUACCCGCUGAACUUAAGCAUAUCAAUAAGCGGAGGA